GUCUUGCAAUGCGCCUCCACCCACAAGUGCCCUUUUUCUUGUCUAGUGAUCGGCAGCCAAUCAGAGGGGCUCACACCAGUCCCUCUCCUCAGACAUAAAAGCUCCCAGCUGGUUGGCUUUUCAAACGAACACUUGGCAUCACUCAACGUUUGACUUAAAACCCAAAUUUUUAAAAAAUCAUGGGAGCCGGCCCUUCUGCCCCUACAGGAAACCCAGGAGGUUUUAUGGCACACAUACCUCCUGCUGGGGCGACAAUCGGUUAUCCCCAACCGAGCCCUGCUCUAGACCCCACCGACCUCUCAUUGCCGCCAGGUCCAUCACUGAGUCCACCAUCGUCGAUGACUCCGAGGUUUUCCCCUUGAAGCUCUGGCUGCUGUGUAUUAAGCCACUGUUUUACUCCCUGGUGUCUAUUUUAAAUGUCAGUUUAUUUUCAAGAAAUCUGUAUUCCAGUUCUUCUUUUGUGUGUGGAGGGCAAAGAGUAAAUAAAAUGACAAUAUUGAAUACAAA
Molecule: long non-coding RNA, 507 nt
Organism: Doryrhamphus excisus (bluestripe pipefish)
Lineage: Eukaryota; Metazoa; Chordata; Actinopteri; Syngnathiformes; Syngnathidae
Source: RefSeq, a predicted model, not a curated record